RNAcentral lists this ribosomal RNA (496 nucleotides) under uncultured bacterium. RNAcentral describes it as "partial 16S ribosomal RNA". It matches the Rfam family "Bacterial small subunit ribosomal RNA", at positions 29 to 507 of the family's 1533-position model. The record is from RNAcentral.
AUGAACGCUGGCGGCGUGACUAAUACAUGCAAGUCGAGCGAACGGACGAAAAGCUUGCUUCUCUGAUGUUAGCGGCGGACGGGUGAGUAACACGUGGAUAACCUACCUAUAAGACUGGGAUAACUUCGGGAAACCGGAGCUAAUACCGGAUAAUAUUUUGAACCGCAUGGUUCAAAAGUGAAAGACGGUCUUGCUGUCACUUAUAGAUGGAUCCGCGCUGCAUUAGCUAGUUGGUAAGGUAACGGCUUACCAAGGCAACGAUGCAUAGCCGACCUGAGAGGGUGAUCGGCCACACUGGAACUGAGACACGGUCCAGACUCCUACGGGAGGCAGCAGUAGGGAAUCUUCCGCAAUGGGCGAAAGCCUGACGGAGCAACGCCGCGUGAGUGAUGAAGGUCUUCGGAUCGUAAAACUCUGUUAUUAGGGAAGAACAUAUGUGUAAGUAACUGUGCACAUCUUGACGGUACCUAAUCAGAAAGCCACGGCUAACUACGUG